RNAcentral lists this ribosomal RNA (405 nucleotides) under uncultured soil bacterium. RNAcentral's name for it is "bacterial SSU rRNA". It matches the Rfam family "Bacterial small subunit ribosomal RNA", at positions 94 to 543 of the family's 1533-position model. The record is from RNAcentral.
AGUGGCAGACGGGUGAGUAACGCGUGGGAACAUACCCUUCGGUUCGGAAUAACUCAGGGAAACUUGAGCUAAUGCCGGAUACGCGUAAGGAAAGAUUUGCCGAGGGAUUGGCCCGCGUCUGAUUAGCUAGUUGGUGAGGUAAUGGCUCACCAAGGCGACGAUCAGUAGCUGGUCUGAGAGGAUGAUCAGCCACAUUGGGACUGAGACACGGCCCAAACUCCUACGGGAGGCAGCAGUGGGGAAUAUUGGACAAUGGGCGCAAGCCUGAUCCAGCCAUGCCGCGUGAGUGAUGAAGGCCUUAGGGUUGUAAAGCUCUUUUACUCGGGAAGAUUGACGGUACCGAGAGAAUAAGCCCCGGCUAACUUCGUGCCAGCAGCCGCGGUAAUACGAAGGGGGCUAGCGUUG